Molecule: ribosomal RNA, 468 nt
Filed under: uncultured bacterium
Lineage: Bacteria
Description: partial 16S ribosomal RNA
Rfam family: Bacterial small subunit ribosomal RNA
Source: RNAcentral
GACGAACGCUGGCGGCGUGCUUAACACAUGCAAGUCGAACGGAGAGGCCCUGGUUUUGUGGGGUGCUCGAGUGGCGAACUGGUGAGUAACACUUGAGUAACCUGUCCCUGACUUUGGGUUAACUUCAUGACACUUGGGCUAAUACCGGCUAGGAGUUCCUGCUGCAUGGUGGGGGUGGGAAAGUUUCGGCGGUUGGGGAUGGACUCGCGGCCUAUUGGCUUGUUGGUGGGGUGGUGGCUUACCAAGGCUUUGAAGGGUAGCCGGCCUGAGAGGGUCACCGGCCACACUGCAACUGAGAUACGGCCCAGACCACUACGGGAGGCAGGAGUGGAGAAUAUUGCACAAUGGGCGGAAGCCUGAUGCAGCAACGCCGCGUGCGGGAUGACGGCCUUCGGGUUGUGAACCGCUUUCGCCUGUGACGAGGCGUGAGUGACGGUAAUGGGUAAAGAAGCACCGGCUAACUACGUG